Molecule: ribosomal RNA, 351 nt
Filed under: Boophis quasiboehmei
Lineage: Eukaryota; Metazoa; Chordata; Amphibia; Anura; Mantellidae
Description: partial 16S ribosomal RNA
Rfam family: Bacterial large subunit ribosomal RNA
Source: RNAcentral
CGAGAAGACCCCAUGGAGCUUUAAACCUGACAGCACCCGCUCAUUCUAUACCCCAUUAUUUGCCCGACCCCUGUCUGCUCAGUUUUAGGUUGGGGUGACCACGGAGUAUAAAAUAACCUCCAUGAAGAAGGGGAUAUUUCCCUUAUUAGAGAACCACACUUCCAAGAACUAAUAAAUUAAUUUUCAAUGACCCGAUACCCGAUAAUCGAUCAACGAACCAAGUUACCCUGGGGAUAACAGCGCAAUCCACCCUGAAAGCCCUUAUUAACAGGUGGGUUUACGACCUCGAUGUUGGAUCAGGGUAUCCCAGUGGUGCAGCAGCUACUGAGGGUUCGUUUGUUCAACGAUUAA